RNAcentral lists this ribosomal RNA (1546 nucleotides) under activated sludge metagenome. RNAcentral describes it as "bacterial LSU rRNA". The stretch from base 367 to 1546 matches the Rfam family "Bacterial large subunit ribosomal RNA", at positions 1 to 2335 of the family's 2925-position model. The record is from RNAcentral.
AGGCGUUGGCAUUGGCGCUGUCUCUUAUACACAUCUAGAUGUGUAUAAGAGACAGCAGUUGUAGUUCGACCACCGGGUUGCCGUUGACCCGGGAGCCGGUGUCGGUGAUGGUCAUCACCCGGGCUCUGGCGGGCAAGCCAAGGGUACGCAGGCGGCGGGCGCGCAGGCUGCCCCAGAGCAUCGGGCCCAGACCGAAGACGAACAUCGCGGCCACGGCGGCGUAGACCAGGUACUCAAUCAUCGGACGGCGACUCAUGGACCCUACGGCGGCGGCAGGCGGCUUGUGGGCGGAACCAUCAGGGCGCCAGCAGCAGGAUCUUAGGCUGGCUGGGCACCACGCGGCAACCCGGGCAGUUGGUGUUGUUCUGGAUCGCCACACUCGUCAUGCGCGUGCCAGGCAUGCCGCCGACCAGGCAGGUGAAGGCCGCGGUCAUGUGCCGUACCGGCCCUGUCUCUUAUACACAUCUAGAUGUGUAUAAGAGACAGGGUUUCCUACGCAACGUUCAUCGGCGUAGGGUGAGUCGGCCCCUAAGGUGAGGCAGAGAUGCGUAACUGAUGGGAAACAGGUCAAUAUUCCUGUACCGAUGUGUAGUGCGAUGUGGGGACGGAGAAGGUUAACUCGGCCAGGUGUUGGAUAUCCUGGUUCAAGCUUGUAGUCGUGGUCCUUAGGCAAAUCCGGGGACCUUAGAUGAGGAGUGUUAACGAGGCGGCUUGCCGCCGAAGUGAGUGAUACCCUGCUUCCAAGAAAAGCCACUAAGCUUCAGCUACACACGACCGUACCGCAAACCGACACUGGUGCGCGAGAUGAGUAUUCUAAGGCGCUUGAGAGAACUCUGGAGAAGGAACUCGGCAAAUUGACACCGUAACUUCGGAAGAAGGUGUGCCUUUAGUAGGUGAAGUCGUACAGACGGAGCCCAAUGAGGCCGCAGAGAAUCGGUGGCUGCGACUGUUUAUUAAAAACACAGCACUCUGCAAACACGAAAGUGGACGUAUAGGGUGUGACGCCUGCCCGGUGCCGGAAGGUUAAGUGAUGGGGUGCAAGCUCUUGAUCGAAGCCCCGGUAAACGGCGGCCGUAACUAUAACGGUCCUAAGGUAGCGAAAUUCCUUGUCGGGUAAGUUCCGACCUGCACGAAUGGCGUAACGAUGGCCACACUGUCUCCUCCUGAGACUCAGCGAAGUUGAAAUGUUUGUGAUGAUGCAAUCUCCCCGCGGAAAGACGGAAAGACCCCAUGAACCUUUACUGUAGCUUUACAUUGGACUUUGAACAGAUCUGUGUAGGAUAGGUGGGAGGCUUUGAAGCGGUGCCGCUAGGUGUCGUGGAGCCAACGUUGAAAUACCACCCUGGUGUGUUUGAGGUUCUAACCUUGGCCCGUUAUCCGGGUUGGGGACAGUGUAUGGUGGGCAGUUUGACUGGGGCGGUCUCCUCCCAAAGCUGUCUCUUAUACACAUCUAGAUGUGUAUAAGAGACAGGUUCGUGACUGGGGUGAAGUCGUAACAAGGUAGCCGUAUCGGAAGGUGCGGCUGGAUCACCUCCUUUCUAGAGAA